UUUAACCAAUGUAGAAUAGUUGAACAAUUUAUCUUCUUUCCGCGCGCUGUACAGUACCUUUAGCGCCUCCGCAAACUUUCGCACACGCUCAUCUCCACUGGAAGCACAAUACCUUUAGGCGGCGACGGCGGUGCUUCACCUUCUGCCUUCCCCUCAUCUCGUUACGAGUUCGCAAACUAAAUUUCCUGCGUAUUUGCAUUUUUCACCGGGAAUGGCAAACUAAAUUUCCUGCGUAUUUGCAUUUUUCACCGGGAAUCGGCUAAACUCUAAACCCUGCCACUUCUUUUCUUCCUCUUCCUUCACCGGGAAUCGGCUAAACCCUACCAUCGAGCAUUGUGGAGUUGCUUCAACUGAAUGUCCCUAUGGCGAUGAAACUGGCGUUUGAUGGUUUGAAGGGUUC
This is a non-coding RNA of Cajanus cajan (pigeon pea), 400 nucleotides long. Lineage: Eukaryota; Viridiplantae; Streptophyta; Magnoliopsida; Fabales; Fabaceae. The record is from RefSeq and is a predicted model, not a curated record.